GGUAAAUCUCGUGCCAGCCACCGCGGUCAUACAAGAGACCCAAAUCAACUGUCCCACAAGCGGCGUAAAGAGUGGUAAAAUGCCUAUCCUACCUAACUAAGAUCAAAAUGCAACUAAGCUGUCGCAAGCACAAGAUGCACCUAAACACACCAUCAAGAUGAUCUUAGAAACUAGCGAUUGAUUUGAACCCACGAAAGCCAGGGCCCAAACUGGGAUUAGAUACCCCACUAUGCCUGGCCCUAAAUCUUGAUACUUACCCUACCGAAGUAUCCGCCAGAGAACUACGAGCACAAACGCUUAAAACUCUAAGGACUUGGCGGUGCCCUAAACCCACCUAGAGGAGCCUGUUCUGUAAUCGAUGAUCCACGAUCAACCCUACCGUCCCUUGCCAAGCACAGCCUACAUACCGCCGUCGCCAGCCCACCUCGAAUGAGAGCACAACAGUGGGCGCAACAGCACCCCGCUAAUAAGACAGGUCAAGGUAUAGCCUAUGGGGCGGAAGAAAUGGGCUACAUUCCCUAUACAUAGGGCAGCACGGAAAGAAGUAUGAAACUACUUCUGGAAGGAGGAUUUAGCAGUAAAGCGGGAUAAUAAAGCCCGCUUUAAGCCGGCCCUAGGGCACGUACAUACCGCCCGUCACCCUCCUCACAAGCCACACCCCCACAUAACUAAUACCACGUAAAUGCCAA
Molecule: ribosomal RNA, 689 nt
Filed under: Anas crecca (Common teal)
Lineage: Eukaryota; Metazoa; Chordata; Aves; Anseriformes; Anatidae
Description: partial 12S ribosomal RNA
Rfam family: Bacterial small subunit ribosomal RNA
Source: RNAcentral